Molecule: ribosomal RNA, 492 nt
Filed under: uncultured bacterium
Lineage: Bacteria
Description: partial 16S ribosomal RNA
Rfam family: Bacterial small subunit ribosomal RNA
Source: RNAcentral
AGUGAACGCUGGCGGUAGGCCUAACACAUGCAAGUCGAACGGCAGCACAGUAAGAGCUUGCUCUUACGGGUGGCGAGUGGCGGACGGGUGAGGAAUACAUCGGAAUCUACUUUUUCGUGGGGGAUAACGUAGGGAAACUUACGCUAAUACCGCAUACGACCUACGGGUGAAAGCAGGGGAUCUUCGGACCUUGCGCGAUUGAAUGAGCCGAUGUCGGAUUAGCUAGUUGGCGGGGUAAAGGCCCACCAAGGCGACGAUCCGUAGCUGGUCUGAGAGGAUGAGCAGCCACAAUGGAGAGGAGAAACGGUCCAGCCUCCUACGGGAGGCAGCAGUGGGGAAUAGUGGACAAUGGGCGCAAGCUUGAUCCAGCCAUACCGCGUGGGUGAAGAAGGCCUUCGGGUUGUAAAGCCCUUUUGUUGGGAAAGAAAAGCAGCAGGUUAAUACCCCGCUGUUCUGACGGUACCCAAAGAAUAAGCACCGGCUAACUUCGUG